UACAGGGGGUGCAAACGUUGCUCGGAAUCAUUGGGCGUAAAGCGCACGUAGGCGGUCUGUUAUGUCGGAUGUGAAAGCCCUCGGCUCAACUGAGGAAGUGCAUCCGAAACUGGCAGGCUAGAGUACCAAAGAGGGUCGCGGAAUUCCCGGUGUAGAGGUGAAAUUCGUAGAUAUUCGCAAGAACACCAGUGGCGAAGGCGGCUCACUGGCCCGGUACUGACGCUGAGGUGCGAAAGCGUGGGGAGCAAACAGG
This 253-nucleotide ribosomal RNA is filed under the name uncultured bacterium. Its description in RNAcentral is "partial 16S ribosomal RNA". It matches the Rfam family "Bacterial small subunit ribosomal RNA", at positions 524 to 776 of the family's 1533-position model. The record is from RNAcentral.